Long non-coding RNA from Phyllopteryx taeniolatus (common seadragon), 302 nucleotides. RefSeq lists it as uncharacterized. The record is from RefSeq and is a predicted model, not a curated record. The transcript is spliced from 3 exons. NCBI's taxonomy places the organism in Eukaryota, Metazoa, Chordata, Actinopteri, Syngnathiformes, Syngnathidae.
AGGAUCCUUGUUGACACUUUUUUUCCCCCUCUUUUUUUAUGCGGUCACCUGAGAAAUAAAAAUAAAUAAAUAAAUAAAAAAAACACCAUACCCAUCGAGUUCACCACAAAAUGUUAACUACAAUUGCUAGACUCAUCUAAGGGGCCGGUAUCGACGUACUUUAUGCGGUUUGAUACUAGUGUGUGUCGCGGAGAAUGACACAUACUACAUUUGACGUCGUCACCUGGUGGAAGAAGAAAUCCCCUUUCGCCCUAUCGUCUCUCUCCUUCCCACCGAGCACAUCGUCACAGCAGCCUCGGAGC